RNAcentral lists this ribosomal RNA (487 nucleotides) under uncultured bacterium. Its description in RNAcentral is "partial 16S ribosomal RNA". It matches the Rfam family "Bacterial small subunit ribosomal RNA", at positions 899 to 1397 of the family's 1533-position model. The record is from RNAcentral.
ACUCAAAUGAAUUGACGGGGGACCGCACAAGCAGCGGAGCGUGUGGUUUAAUUCGAGGCUACACGAAGAACCUUACCUAGGUUUGACAUCGCACCGAAUACUGCGUGAAAGCGUGGUAGUCCCGCAAGGGACGGUGUGACAGGUGCUGCAUGGCUGUCGUCAGCUCGUGCCGUGAGGUGUUCGGUUAAGUCCGCAAACGAGCGCAACCCUCGGUGCCAGUUACAAGUGUCUGGCGCGACUGCCCGUGGCAAACGGGAGGAAGGUGGGGAUGACGUCAAGUCAGCAUGGCCUUUAUAUCUAGGGCUACACACACGCUACAAUGGCGCGUACAAUGGGUCGCGAAGCUGCGAAGCGGAGCUAAUCCUAAAAAGCGCGUCUCAGUUCAGAUCGCAGGCUGCAACCCGCCUGCGUGAAGUUGGAGUUGCUAGUAACCGCGCGUCAGCAGAGUGCGGUGAAUACGUUCCCGGUCCUUGCACACACCGCCCGU